GCCAGGUGUGGUGGCGGGCGCCUGUAGUCCCAGCUAUUUGGGAGGCUGAGGCAGGACAAUUGCUUGAACCCGGGAGAUGGAGGUUGCAGUGAGCUGAGAUUGUGCCACUGCAUUCCAUCCUGGGUGACAGAGCGAGGCUCUGUCUCAA
Molecule: non-coding RNA, 148 nt
Filed under: Nomascus leucogenys (northern white-cheeked gibbon)
Lineage: Eukaryota; Metazoa; Chordata; Mammalia; Primates; Hylobatidae
Source: Rfam by way of RNAcentral